This 227-nucleotide ribosomal RNA is filed under the name uncultured bacterium. Its description in RNAcentral is "partial 16S ribosomal RNA". It matches the Rfam family "Bacterial small subunit ribosomal RNA", at positions 568 to 795 of the family's 1533-position model. The record is from RNAcentral.
UCCGUAGGUGGAUAAUUAAGUCAGAGGUGAAAUCCUGCAGCUCAACUGUAGAAUUGCCUUUGAUACUGGUCAUCUUGAGUCAUUAUGAAGUGGUUAGAAUGUGUAGUGUAGCGGUGAAAUGCAUAGAUAUUACACAGAAUACCGAUUGCGAAGGCAGAUCACUAAUAAUGUACUGACACUGAGGGACGAAAGCGUGGGGAGCGAACAGGAUUAGAACCCUGGUAGUC